This 466-nucleotide ribosomal RNA is filed under the name Nitrosospira sp. YKU11. Its description in RNAcentral is "bacterial SSU rRNA". It matches the Rfam family "Bacterial small subunit ribosomal RNA", at positions 198 to 644 of the family's 1533-position model. The record is from RNAcentral. Lineage: Bacteria; Pseudomonadati; Pseudomonadota; Betaproteobacteria; Nitrosomonadales; Nitrosomonadaceae.
GGAGGAAAGUAGGGGAUCGCAAGACCUCACGUUAUAGGAGCGGCCGAUGUCCGAUUAGCUAGUUGGUGGGGUAAAGGCCUACCAAGGCGACGAUCGGUAGCUGGUCUGAGAGGAUGAUCAGCCACACUGGGACUGAGACACGGCCCAGACUCCUACGGGAGGCAGCAGUGGGGAAUUUUGGACAAUGGGCGAAAGCCUGAUCCAGCCAUGCCGCGUGCGGGAAGAAGGCCUUCGGGUUGUAAACCGCUUUAGUCCGGGAAAAAGGGGUGCGAGGAUAAUACCCUUGUGCUUUGAUGGUACUGGAAGAAUAAGCACCGGCUAACUACGUGCCAGCAGCCGCGGUAAUACGUAGGGUGCGAGCGUUAAUCGGAAUUACUGGGCGUAAAGCGUGCGCAGGCGGUCUUGUAAGACAGUCGUGAAAGCCCCGGGCUUAACCUGGGAACUGCGUUUGAAACUACAAAGCUAG